AUUGAACGCUGGCGGCAGGCCUAACACAUGCAAGUCGAGCGGAUGAAGGGAGCUUGCUCCUGGAUUCAGCGGCGGACGGGUGAGUAAUGCCUAGGAAUCUGCCUGGUAGUGGGGGAUAACGUCCGGAAACGGGCGCUAAUACCGCAUACGUCCUGAGGGAGAAAGUGGGGGAUCUUCGGACCUCACGCUAUCAGAUGAGCCUAGGUCGGAUUAGCUAGUUGGUGGGGUAAAGGCCUACCAAGGCGACGAUCCGUAACUGGUCUGAGAGGAUGAUCAGUCACACUAGAACUGGGCCACGGUCAAGAGUACUACGAGAGGCAGCAGUGGGGAAUAUUGGGCAGUAGUGGAAAGUCUGAUACAGCCGUGCGGAGUGUGAGGAGAAAGUCCUCGGAUCGUAAAGCACUUUAAGUUGGGAGGAAGGGCAGUAAGUUAAUACCUAGCUGUUUUGACGUUAACAACAGAAGAAGCACCGGCUAACUUCGUG
RNAcentral lists this ribosomal RNA (484 nucleotides) under uncultured bacterium. Its description in RNAcentral is "partial 16S ribosomal RNA". It matches the Rfam family "Bacterial small subunit ribosomal RNA", at positions 30 to 507 of the family's 1533-position model. The record is from RNAcentral.